GACGAACGCUGGCGGCGUGCUUAACACAUGCAAGUCGAACGGAAAGGCCCUGCUUUUGUGGGGUGCUCGAGUGGCGAACGGGUGAGGAACACGUGAGUAACCUGCCCUUGACUUUGGGAUAACGUCAGGAAACUGGGGCUAAUACCGGAUAGGAGCUCCUGCUGCAUGGUGGGGGGUGGAAAGUUUCGGCGGUUGGGGAUGGACUCGCGGCUUAUCAGCUUGUUGGUGGGGUAGUGGCUUACCAAGGCUUUGACGGGUAGCCGGCCUGGGCGGGUGACCGGCCACAUUGGGACUGAGAUACGGCCCAGACUACUACGGGAGGCAGGAGUGGGGAAUAUUGCACAAUGGGCGGAAGCCUGAUGCAGCCACGCCGCGUGCGGGAUGACGGCCUUCGGGUUGUAAACCGCUUUCGCCUGUGACGAAGCGUGAGUGACGGUAAUGGGUAAAGAAGCACCGGCUAACUACGUG
RNAcentral lists this ribosomal RNA (468 nucleotides) under uncultured bacterium. Its description in RNAcentral is "partial 16S ribosomal RNA". It matches the Rfam family "Bacterial small subunit ribosomal RNA", at positions 28 to 507 of the family's 1533-position model. The record is from RNAcentral.